AGAGUUUGAUCAUGGCUCAGGAUGAACGCUAGCGGCAGGCUUAAUACAUGCAAGUCGAGGGGCAGCGGGGGUAGCAAUACCUGCCGGCGACCGGCAAACGGGUGCGGAACACGUACACAACCUUCCUUUCGGUGGGAGAUAGCCCAGAGAAAUUUGGAUUAAUACCCCAUAGGAUACCCUGGAAGCAUUUUUAGGGUAUUAAAGAUUUAUUGCCGGAAGAUGGGUGUGCGUCUGAUUAGGUAGUUGGUAGGGGUAACGGCCCACCAAGCCAGCGAUCAGUAACUGGUGUGAGAGCACGACCAGUCACACGGGCACUGAGACACGGGCCCGACUCCUACGGGAGGCAGCAGUAAGGAAUAUUGGUCAAUGGACGCAAGUCUGAACCAGCCAUGCCGCGUGGAGGAUGAAGGUCCUCUGGAUUGUAAACUUCUUUUAUCUGGGAAGAAAUGCAUUUAUUCUUAAGUGUUUGACGGUACCAGAUGAAUAAGCACCGGCUAACUCCGUGCCAGCAGCCGCGGUAAUACGGAGGGUGCAAGCGUUAUCCGGAUUCACUGGGUUUAAAGGGUGCGUAGGUGGGCAGUUAAGUCAGUGGUGAAAUCUCCGGGCUUAACCCGGAAACUGCCAUUGAUACUAUCUGUCUUGAAUGUCGUGGAGGUAAGCGGAAUAUGUCUGUAGCGGUGAAAUGCUUAGAUAUGACAUAGAACACCAAUUGCGAAGGCAGCUUGCUACACGAAUAUUGACACUGAGGCACGAAAGCGUGGGGAUCAAACAGGAUUAGAUACCCUAGUAGUCC
Molecule: ribosomal RNA, 793 nt
Filed under: uncultured bacterium
Lineage: Bacteria
Description: bacterial SSU rRNA
Rfam family: Bacterial small subunit ribosomal RNA
Source: RNAcentral